GGCUAGCCAUUUCACUGAAUGGAGCUUCUGGUUAUUGAGGUGCCGAAUUCAGUUUAAUGAGCCCUUCAUUUGAGCCCUUCAUUGAAAUUAUUAGUCCCAUGGCACGAAAAGUGCAGUCUAAUGAAGGCAAGAACCAUUCAUAAAAGCACCAUAUGCAGGGGUAAAGAAAAUUUGACGUUUGGCAAAAAAUACGCAUUUUUAAAACGGGAGAAGCGAGACGCGUGGGUUUGUUAUCUUACUGAUGAUGCCUGACGGAGCCAGAGAAAGGUUGAGGCUUCUAUUUUAGUAAAAAUGUCUGAAUCUGUUCGGUGGUGAA
Long non-coding RNA from Actinia tenebrosa (Australian red waratah sea anemone), 316 nucleotides. NCBI's taxonomy places the organism in Eukaryota, Metazoa, Cnidaria, Anthozoa, Actiniaria, Actiniidae. The record is from RefSeq and is a predicted model, not a curated record.